UACCAGCACCCCGAGUGGUCGGGACGAUUAUUGGGCCUAAAGCAUCCGUAGCCGGUUCUACAAGUCUUCCGUUAAAUCCACCUGCUUAACAGAUGGGCUGCGGAGGAUACUAUGGAGCUAGGAGGCGGGAGAGGCAAGCGGUACUUAGUGGGUAGGGGUAAAAUCCGUUGAUCCAUUGAAGACCACCAGUGGCGAAGGCGGCUUGCCAGAAUGCGCUCGACGGUGAGGGAUGAAAGCUGGGGGAGCAAACCGG
Molecule: ribosomal RNA, 253 nt
Filed under: uncultured bacterium
Lineage: Bacteria
Description: partial 16S ribosomal RNA
Rfam family: Archaeal small subunit ribosomal RNA
Source: RNAcentral